GACGAUGGAUAUAGGGCAAACCUGAUUGGAGAGAUCGAAUGAAAUUGAAUUGCAUCGUUGGGUUUGCAGAGCAAUUUGAGGGUUUAUAUGAGAGGGAAUUGGUUCUUUGCCGAUGAGUUCCCUUCAGCCUCUGGAGGUUGCUCUGAACUCUGUUAGCUCUUCUCUCACUUUCUUUUUCCUGCCAGAGUAAUAGGAAUGGGAUGUCCUUUUGUUUCACUGAAACUCUGAAUUGAUAACCUGGUUUUUGUGGACCUGUGGGCUCAAAUGAGAGAGGCCCAAAUCCAAAAAAAUUUUGUUAUAUUUUAUUUAUUUAUUUAUUU
Molecule: long non-coding RNA, 320 nt
Filed under: Lathyrus oleraceus (garden pea)
Lineage: Eukaryota; Viridiplantae; Streptophyta; Magnoliopsida; Fabales; Fabaceae
Description: Pisum sativum (pea) long non-coding RNA (PSAT_LNC028684)
Source: RNAcentral